GGACUACUGGGGUAUCUAAUCCUGUUUGCUACCCACGCUUUCGUGUCUCAGCGUCAGUGAUGGUCCAGCAGGCUGUCUACACCACAGGUGUUCCUCCUGAUAUCUACGCAUUUCACCGCUACACCAGGAAUUCCGCUUGCCUCUCCCAUACUCGAGCACCCCAGUUUCCGGCGCACCCUCCCAGUUAAGCCGGGAGAUUUCACACCGAACUUAGAGCACCGCCUACACACUCUUUACGCCCAGUAAUUCCGAACAACGCUCGCUGCCUACGUAUUACCGCGGCUGCUGGCAC
Molecule: ribosomal RNA, 292 nt
Filed under: uncultured Acidobacteriota bacterium
Lineage: Bacteria; Pseudomonadati; Acidobacteriota
Description: uncultured Acidobacteria bacterium partial 16S ribosomal RNA
Source: RNAcentral